Molecule: unclassified non-coding RNA, 233 nt
Filed under: plant metagenome
Description: partial contains small subunit ribosomal RNA, internal transcribed spacer 1, and 5.8S ribosomal RNA
Source: RNAcentral
UUUCCGUAGGUGAACCUGCGGAAGGAUCAUUACUGAGUGAGGGCCCUCUGGGUCCAACCUCCCACCCGUGUUUAUUAGACCUUGUUGCUUCGGUGAGCCCGCCUCACGGCCGCCGGGGGGCAUCUGCCCCCGGGCCCGCGCCCACCGAAGACACCUAGAACUCUGUAUGAAGAUUGCAGUCUGAGCAAAAACUAAAUAAGUUAAAACUUUCAACAACGGAUCUCUUGGUUCCG